RNAcentral lists this transfer RNA (85 nucleotides) under Felis catus (domestic cat). It matches the Rfam family "tRNA". Rfam says of the family: Transfer RNA (tRNA) molecules are approximately 80 nucleotides in length. Their secondary structure includes four short double-helical elements and three loops (D, anti-codon, and T loops). Lineage: Eukaryota; Metazoa; Chordata; Mammalia; Carnivora; Felidae. The record is from Rfam by way of RNAcentral.
GCCUGGAUGGCUCAGUUGGUUGAGCAUCUGACUUCGGCUUAGGCCAUGAUUUAGCACUUUGUGGGUUCAAGCCCCACAUCAGAUU